RNAcentral lists this ribosomal RNA (101 nucleotides) under uncultured bacterium. RNAcentral describes it as "partial 16S ribosomal RNA". It matches the Rfam family "Bacterial small subunit ribosomal RNA", at positions 1384 to 1482 of the family's 1533-position model. The record is from RNAcentral.
UACACACCGCCCGUCACACCAUGGGAGUCAGUUGCUCCGGAAACGGCUGCGCUAACCCGCAAGGGAGGCAGGUCUUUAAGGAGUGGCUGGUAACUGGGGUG